UGGGAAGCCACACGGAAAGUGGCCACUAUUGAAUGGUGUUGUGGAGGGUAAAGAGGCUCUUAGGGAGGUGCAGAUCAAACGCUCUUCGUCUUCGUCAAAGCGCCAACGACUAGAACAUAAUAAAAGGAUUGCCCAACAUAACGAGUUAAUGAAAAGACAUGCACAAAGUAUGGUUGAUUGGGGGAAAUCUGUGCAGACUACAGUGGAGAGUAGCCUUGGUGGUGUGCACAAGUUUCUAAUGGUGUGUAUAUUUCUUUUGUGCUGCCAUUUUCUUUCUAUUGUAGCCACUUGACAUAACUUUCUCAUUUGUCUAAAAAAUUUCAGACCAUCGCAUCCCUUCAAGGAAUUCCAGGGCCUGAGAUUCCAUGCAUUGUUAUACCCCCACCUCCAGCUUUUCCAACUUUAACCACUUCAUCUCCGAUCUUUUCUCCAGAAAUGGUAUGUACCUAUGUUUUUUUAAAUGCAAUAGCACCAAAUAGGCUAAAUGAGAACAGAAAAGGAAUAUGUUGUGAGUAUAUCAGCAAAUGUGCAACACUGAGUGAAAAUUCCCAGAAUAGUGGUCGACAUAUGGUUGCACUUUGUUUUUUAUUUCAAAUUUUUGGCCAAAUAGUGCCUGAAUUGGUAUUUUAAUUUUACUUCUUAAUUGAUUUGGCAAAUAUGAUUGAGAAUUUCCUAGAAUACUAGGCAUCAUAUGGUUGUCCUUCUGUCAAUAUUUCAUAAUUUUUUAGGCAUUUGUUAUUUUGGUUCAUUUUUUUGCAAAAUAGGGGUUGAAUUGGUAUUUCCAUUUUAUUUUAUUUAGUUGGUUAGGAAAAUACGAUUAAAAUUUUCCAAGAAUACGAAUAAUGACAUUUGUGCAGCCCUCCACCGGCGAAUCAACACAUGAUGUUGAAAAUAUAGAUAAUACAUUGCGUGGAGCGGAAGAUGGAAUGUUUGGCGGCUUCUUUGAUGAAAAUGGUAAUGAUGCGA
This 966-nucleotide long non-coding RNA is filed under the name Triticum aestivum (bread wheat). Its description in RNAcentral is "long non-coding RNA (TAES_LNC028263)". The record is from RNAcentral. Lineage: Eukaryota; Viridiplantae; Streptophyta; Magnoliopsida; Poales; Poaceae.